UUAAGGGGUUGCGACUGGCGAUGAGGUGGGACACCACCGGGGAGCAGCACGAUGGAUGACCUCAAGGAUCGUACGCCUGGGACGAGAGG
This 89-nucleotide non-coding RNA is filed under the name Arthrobacter alpinus. RNAcentral's name for it is "ZTP sequence". It matches the Rfam family "ZMP/ZTP riboswitch aptamer (pfl RNA motif)". From Rfam's summary of the family: Previously known as pfl RNA. The record is from Rfam by way of RNAcentral. Lineage: Bacteria; Bacillati; Actinomycetota; Actinomycetes; Micrococcales; Micrococcaceae.